RNAcentral lists this long non-coding RNA (650 nucleotides) under Gossypium barbadense (sea-island cotton). RNAcentral describes it as "long non-coding RNA (GBAR_LNC010668)". Lineage: Eukaryota; Viridiplantae; Streptophyta; Magnoliopsida; Malvales; Malvaceae. The record is from RNAcentral.
UUGGCAAGUGACAGGUGCUGUGACCAUGGGUGUAGGCAUACCAUUACCCUUGUCCGUGUGACAUCUUUCUACCAAAUCAUUCACGUACUUGCAUUGACUUAAAAACAGUCUACCACCAGCAGUGUAUGUGAUCCCUAUAACUAAAAAUAGUGCAGUUGACCCUGUAUGUCAAUUUGAGAAAUCAUCUACAUAGAUCAAGACAGACAUACGUCAUCAACAAUCUUGAAAAAAAAAAGUGAAGCAUCAGACUUGGUCGAUUUAAAGUCGAUAGAAAGCAAGAAAUCUGUAACAAGAGAGUGAAAAAUAAGUGGAAGAAUUAAUCCAGGGCAUUCAUUGUAUUUGAUGAAAUAAGAGGGACCAAUAUGCAAUAUGAUCCUAUAGAAACCUGUGAAUGAAGCAAAGUUGUAAUGUCUACAUAACAGGUUCCCAAUGGAAAAGAGAGAAUAAAGAGUGGGAAUAUAGAUAUCCUUCCAGAAAUUAUUUAGUACUUACUUGCCAAAGACAACAAUCCCCAUAGAUCUUCCAACCCUUUUCCCUUUAGCCCCCCAAAAAUAGAAGAAAUGAUUAGUCAAAAUUCAUGGGAACAUUAAGAUAAAAUUUCCCCUUUAUUUAAUUUUAUCUUUUGCUUUUGUAAAUGGAAAGGACUUGAA